AGAAAUGUCCUCACACAUGCGUCAUGCUUUGCACAGACUGAUAGAUCAAGAACCAAGCAAUUAGGGUAAAUUCUGGUAUAAAUGGUACAAUCUCAUGGAAAGGGUGGUCAGAUAUUGGAACAGGCUGCUCUGAGAAGUGGUGGAAUCUCCAUCUCUGAAAGGUUUAAAAAUGUGGAUGUGGCAGCUGACCGGGUUUAGGGGGGAACAUGGCAGUGCUGGAUUAAUGGUUGGACUCGAUGAUCUUUCAGGGCUUGUCCAACCUUACCAAUCACACGAUUUUAACUGCACUGAGCACUUGCUUAUUCCAGCAUUCAGCUUGUCUAUCUGUGAGAAGUACAUCAAACCCAGCAGGUACAGAGAAAGCACAAGGAGGAGGAUUCCUCACACCGAGUGCACCUAACACUUGACCUGCGGCAUCGCAGCGCAAACAUUUGCUUUGUUUUAGCUGUGAUUCACACAGUUCAGGACACAGGUCCUGAGGCAAAACGCCGAGAAGUGUCGUCUGCAAGGAUCUGGUGUGCUGUGGGUGACACCGGGGCUCCGGGGGAUGCUCACCCAAGGACUGCACGGUACCACCCGCGCCUCCCAACCUGUUCUGCAGCACAGACACGCGGGACUCUGGGACACCCGGCCGGCCGUACGGUGGAACCUACCCCGUGAUCCGCAGCUUCUUCGCGGGGCUCCGGGUCUUAAUUUUGUCGACACCGACAGCAAAAAGAAGCCGCAAACGAGGCGGCGUUGGCGGCCUGGCUGCCAGCGCACCGCGCUGCCUCGGCAGGCACGGACGGGGUUCGAACCCGCGAUCUUCGGUUUACGAGACCGACGCCUUACCACUUGGCCACCGCGCCCGACGGGCUGUUUGCAUCUCCGCGCCGCCAGUGGAAGGCACCGAUCGGCGCGGAGGAAAGUGGAGCAUCACCGCGAAAUCACAGGGCUGCCUCUGGGAACAAACAGCAGCUGUUCGGAACGAGGGAAGUCCUGCCAAGCUCACACACACCUCCGGCGCUGCCGCUCGGCAGUGCUCCGGCACCUGCUCCCGCUUUGGGGCCGGGGAGGGUCCCCAGGGCAGGAGCCAGCCCUGCGGCACCGGCCCGCUGGGACACAUCUCCCGGGCACGGCACACCGGGGAACGGCGGGGACUGUCCCGGCAUGGCGCAGCUCCAUUCCGGCACUGCCACCCGCCUCUCUGAGAGCCAAACAGCGGCGUUUCCACCCCUUCCCUUGGGACAGUAUCAGGCAGUCUGUGUUUCCUGAUAUUCAAAUUGAAUUUUCACGUUUUACUUCAAACCCAUUAUGUUCUGUUUACAUAGUCAAAUCAUA
RNAcentral lists this transfer RNA (1320 nucleotides) under Serinus canaria (Common canary). Its description in RNAcentral is "lncRNA (ENSSCAG00000014247.1)". Lineage: Eukaryota; Metazoa; Chordata; Aves; Passeriformes; Fringillidae. The record is from RNAcentral.